Molecule: small RNA, 1047 nt
Filed under: uncultured Pelagibacterales bacterium
Lineage: Bacteria; Pseudomonadati; Pseudomonadota; Alphaproteobacteria; Candidatus Pelagibacterales
Description: bacterial SSU rRNA
Rfam family: Bacterial small subunit ribosomal RNA (bases 1-663)
Source: RNAcentral
CACCGCCUGGGGAGUACGACCGCAAGGUUAAAACUCAAAUGAAUUGACGGGGACCCGCACAAGUAGUGGAGCAUGUGGUUUAAUUCGAAGAUACGCGCAGAACCUUACCAACACUUGACAUGUUCGUCGCGACUUUAAGAGAUUAAAGUUUUCGGUUCGGCCGGACGAAACACAGGUGCUGCAUGGCUGUCGUCAGCUCGUGUCGUGAGAUGUUGGGUUAAGUCCCGCAACGAGCGCAACCCUCACUUUUAGUUGCCAUCAUUAAGUUGGGCACUCUGAAAGAACUGCCAGUGAUAAGCUGGAGGAAGGCGGGGAUGACGUCAAGUCCUCAUGGCCCUUACGUGUUGGGCUACACACGUGCUACAAUGGUAUUUACAACAGGAAGCAAAACGGCGACGUUAAGCAAAUCCUCAAAAAAUACCUCAGUUCGGAUUGCACUCUGCAACUCGAGUGCAUGAAGCUGGAAUUACUAGUAAUCGUGGAUCAGCGUGCCACGGUGAAUGCGUUCCCGGGUCUUGUACACACCCGCCCGUCACACCAUGGGAGUUGGUUCUACCUUUAAAGGCAAGGUUUUAAAACCCUUGACCACGGGUAUAGUCAGCGACUGGGGUGAAGUCGUAACAAGGUAGCCGUAGGGGAACCUGCGGCUGGAUUACCUCCUUUUCUAAGGAUGAAUGAAAAUUAUUUUUCAUUCUAAAUAAUUUACAUAGGCAAUGUUGACCGUCCUCAUUUCUCUUCUUAAUAGUGUUUCUCUUGCAUGGGGGCCGGUAGCUCAGUUGGUUAGAGCACACCCUUGAUAAGGGUGGGGUCGAAAGUUCGAGUCUUUCUCGGCCCACCAAUUUUAAAGGGGGGAUUAGCUCAGCUGGGAGAGCGCCUGAUUUGCAUUCAGGAGGUCAGCGGUUCGAUCCCGCUAUCCUCCACCAUAAACACUCAGUUAUUAUAAUUUGUGAAUAAAAAUAAUUAAUAUCAAUAUCUAUAUCCGAACAUUAGAAAUUUUAUUAACUAAUGUUCAAUUAAAAAUUUGAUUCAACACAGAAUUUUUUUCUG